RNAcentral lists this long non-coding RNA (630 nucleotides) under Equus caballus (horse). Its description in RNAcentral is "lncRNA (ENSECAG00000056020.1)". The record is from RNAcentral. Lineage: Eukaryota; Metazoa; Chordata; Mammalia; Perissodactyla; Equidae.
GAGUUGCAAAUGGGCUGAUUUUCUUCUACUUGAUGAAGCUCUAAGGACUAACACUUGGGAUCUAUUAGCAGCUAUGUUUUGCUUGUUGUAGAGUGCCCAUUUACAGUGCAUUAUAGGGAGCCUACUUAAGUAAUGUGCUGAAUAAUUCUUUAUAUGUUCUACUCAGAGACAGUUCAUGGAAAAUCUUUUAUAACUUGUCAGCGGGCCAUCACAGUAGGUGAUAUGCCGUCAAGUCCAAGAGGCUCACCAUUUCAACAAAACCAGGGAUCUUAAAAGCAAGUGAGUCCAACUGAUUACAUUUCUCACAUUGGAUUUCAUUAUGAAGAACAUAUAUCAGAAAAAGAAAAGAAAUAAUAUAGUUUACAACUGGUGAUCACCCCUACCUUGCUGAAUAAUCCUCCACUGAUGGCCACCGUGAACACGGGAGUCAGACUAUGUCCAUCACAUGGAUCAGAUUCCCCAGGCACCUCGUACAAUUGAGCACUUGAAUUGCAAAUCUCAACUUCUAAUGACAGCUCCUCCUGUCCAAUUUAUUUUAACUCUGAUAUCAACUAUUUCUCCUGUACCCCUUGUCUUAGAAUGCUUACAUUUUCAAUUUUUCAAUAAAAAUGCAUAAUCUUCCCCAGCAAA